Molecule: long non-coding RNA, 451 nt
Organism: Eubalaena glacialis (North Atlantic right whale)
Lineage: Eukaryota; Metazoa; Chordata; Mammalia; Artiodactyla; Balaenidae
Exons: 3
Source: RefSeq, a predicted model, not a curated record
UCCUCCCUCGACUCUCAGCGUUCCUUGACUUUUUGGUCUGGCUCGCUUUUUGUUUUGAGCCAGGUGCACAACAGAUAAUACAAAACCUUGUAAGAGGAGAAUUAGUCCCGGAGAGGUAAAGUGACUUUCCGAGGGUAUGAAGUUCCCAAAUAAGGUGCAGAAGAAGCCAAAAUAAUCAUUCACUAAGGGGGAAGUCAGCUGCCAUGUUGAGAGGAUACUCAGGCAACCUGUGGAGAAGUGAGACUGGGGUCUCCUGCCGACAUCCAUGUACGUGAGCCGUCUUAGAAAUAGAUCCUCCAGCCCCAGUCAAGGCUUCAGAUGACUGCUGCUCCAGUCAACUAAGCUGCUUCUAAAUUUCUAAUUCACAGGAACCAUCAGAUAAUAAAUGUUUAGUAUUUUAAGCUGUUAAAUUUUGAGGUAAUUUGUUUUAUGACAAUAGAUAACAAAUAUA